This 427-nucleotide ribosomal RNA is filed under the name uncultured bacterium. RNAcentral's name for it is "partial 16S ribosomal RNA". It matches the Rfam family "Bacterial small subunit ribosomal RNA", at positions 355 to 774 of the family's 1533-position model. The record is from RNAcentral.
UGGGGAAUAUUGCACAAUGGGCGCAAGCCUGAUGCAGACAUGCCGCGUGUAUGAAGAAGGCCUUCGGGUUGUAAAGUACUUUCAGCGAGGAGGAAGGCGUUGUGGUUAAUAACCGCAGCGAUAGACGUUACUCGCAGCAGAAGCACCGGCUAACUCCGUGCCAGCCGCCGCGGUAAUACGGAGGGUGCAAGCGUUAAGCGGAAUUACUGGGUGUAAAGCGCACGCAGGCGGUCUGUCAAGUCGGAUGUGAAAUCCCCGGGCUCAACCUGGGAACUGCAUCCGAAACUGGCAGGCUAGAGUCUUGUAGAGGGGGGUAGAAUUCCAGGUGUAGCGGUGAAAUGCGUAGAGAUCUGGAGGAAUACCGGUGGCGAAGGCGGCCCCCUGGACAAAGACUGACGCUCAGGUGCGAAAGCGUGGGGAGCAAACA